RNAcentral lists this ribosomal RNA (497 nucleotides) under uncultured bacterium. RNAcentral's name for it is "partial 16S ribosomal RNA". It matches the Rfam family "Bacterial small subunit ribosomal RNA", at positions 28 to 523 of the family's 1533-position model. The record is from RNAcentral.
GAUGAACGCUGGCGGCGUGCUUAACACAUGCAAGUCGAACGAAGCACCUUAUUCUGAUUUCUUCGGAAUGAAAAAUUUGGUGACUGAGUGGCGGACGGGUGAGUAACGCGUGGGUAACCUGCCUCAUACAGGGGGAUAACAGUUAGAAAUGACUGCUAAUACCGCAUAAGACCACAGCACCGCAUGGUGCAGGGGGAAAAACUCCGGUGGUAGGAGAUGGACCGGCGUCUGAUUAGGUAGUUGGUGGGGUAACGGCCUACCAAGCCGACGAUCAGUAGCCGACCUGAGAGGGUGACCGGCCACAUUGGGACUGAGACACGGCCCAAACUCCUACGGGAGGCAGCAGUGGGGAAUAUUGCACAAUGGGGGAAACCCUGAUGCAGCGACGCCGCGUGAGCGAUGAAGUAUUUCGGUAUGUAAAGCUCUAUCAGCAGGGAAGAAAAUGACGGUACCUGACUAAGAAGCACCGGCUAAAUACGUGCCAGCCGCCGCCGUAA